RNAcentral lists this ribosomal RNA (422 nucleotides) under uncultured Terrimonas sp. RNAcentral's name for it is "bacterial SSU rRNA". It matches the Rfam family "Bacterial small subunit ribosomal RNA", at positions 353 to 772 of the family's 1533-position model. Lineage: Bacteria; Pseudomonadati; Bacteroidota; Chitinophagia; Chitinophagales; Chitinophagaceae. The record is from RNAcentral.
AGUAAGGAAUAUUGGUCAAUGGACGAAAGUCUGAACCAGCUAUGCCGCGUGGAGGAUGAAGGCCCUCUGGGUUGUAAACUUCUUUUAUAUGGGACGAAAAAGGGCUUUUCUAGGCCAACUGACGGUACCAUGUGAAUAAGCACCGGCUAACUCCGUGCCAGCAGCCGCGGUAAUACGGAGGGUGCAAGCGUUAUCCGGAUUCACUGGGUUUAAAGGGUGCGUAGGUGGGUUGGUAAGUCAGUGGUGAAAUCCCCGAGCUUAACUUGGGAACUGCCAUUGAUACUAUCAGUCUUGAAUACCGUGGAGGUCAGCGGAAUAUGUCAUGUAGCGGUGAAAUGCUUAGAUAUGACAUAGAACACCAAUUGCGAAGGCAGCUGGCUACGCGAAUAUUGACACUGAGGCACGAAAGCGUGGGGAUCAAA